Long non-coding RNA from Clupea harengus (Atlantic herring), 693 nucleotides. Lineage: Eukaryota; Metazoa; Chordata; Actinopteri; Clupeiformes; Clupeidae. The record is from Ensembl.
UCAUCAUUGCAGCAGCACCAGCUUCAUAAGACAGCAAAGGACAGGCUGAAAGAACGACACAGGGAACAUGGCAGACUCCUACCAUCCGGCUUGGGAUGUGAGCCUGCCUCAGCGAGAGCAGCGGGGGGAGGAGCCCCAAACCAGCCAGCCACUUGGGGUGGAGUCACAGUACUCCGUCCACGACAACCGCGAUGCUCUGAACACCAGCAUUUACAUGUUUGAUGGGGGUCUGGGCCGUAGGAAGUGUCCAGAGCGUCGGCAGCAUAACUCUCAUUUCUGGCUGUGCCACAUGGGCGUCCCCGGGGCAGUGGGCAGCGACUCUUCAGCCUACCAGACUGACUUCCUGCCCCCCGAACAGGAAGUGGAGGCAACACAGAGCCGGCGCUUUCCCAGAAGCCACCAGAAGCGCAGCAACAUGGCGGCUGCAGCCCUGAAGCAGCAGGAGCCCUUCUUCUGGUUCGGCCGCCACAACGCCACACACACACACUCACGCACCCCUGCACGUUCUCACUGCCAUCAACAAUCCAGCCACAACAUCAUAGCCUUGCUGCACUCAGAACAAGACUAGAACCAUCAUCACCAUCAUCAUCAUCAUCAAAUCCAUCAUAAUCAUCAUCAUCAUCACCUAGACCCCUCCACGCUUAACAGCUUUAGACCACAACAGUCGUCAUUUAUUCCAUGUUUUUCAUCAUC